GAUGAACGCUGACAGAAUGCUUAACACAUGCAAGUCAACUUGAACUUCGGUUUGGGUGGCGGACGGGUGAGUAACGCGUAAAGAAUUUGCCUCACAGAUAGGGACAACAUUUGGAAACGAAUGCUAAUACCUGAUAUUAUGAUUUUAGGGCAUCCUAGGAUUAUGAAAGCUAUAUGCGCUGUGAGAGAGCUUUGCGUCCCAUUAGCUAGUUGGAGAGGUAACGGCUCACCAAGGCGAUGAUGGGUAGCCGGCCUGAGAGGGUGAUCGGCCACAAGGGGACUGAGACACGGCCCUUACUCCUACGGGAGGCAGCAGUGGGGAAUAUUGGACAAUGGACCAAGAGUCUGAUCCAGCAAUUCUGUGUGCACGAUGAAGUUUUUCGGAAUGUAAAGUGCUUUCAGUUGGGAAGAAAAAA
This 415-nucleotide ribosomal RNA is filed under the name Fusobacterium periodonticum. RNAcentral's name for it is "bacterial SSU rRNA". It matches the Rfam family "Bacterial small subunit ribosomal RNA", at positions 28 to 453 of the family's 1533-position model. The record is from RNAcentral. Lineage: Bacteria; Fusobacteriati; Fusobacteriota; Fusobacteriia; Fusobacteriales; Fusobacteriaceae.